RNAcentral lists this ribosomal RNA (425 nucleotides) under uncultured bacterium. RNAcentral's name for it is "partial 16S ribosomal RNA". It matches the Rfam family "Bacterial small subunit ribosomal RNA", at positions 354 to 796 of the family's 1533-position model. The record is from RNAcentral.
GUGGGGAAUCUUGCGCAAUGGGCGAAAGCCUGACGCAGCCAUGCCGCGUGCAUGAUGAAGGUCUUAGGAUUGUAAAAUUCUUUCACCGGGGACGAUAAUGACGGUACCCGGAGAAGAAGCCCCGGCUAACUUCGUGCCAGCAGCCGCGGUAAUACGAAGGGGGCUAGCGUUGCUCGGAAUUACUGGGCGUAAAGGGCGCGUAGGCGGACAGUUUAGUCAGAGGUGAAAGCCCAGGGCUCAACCUUGGAAUUGCCUCUGAUACUGGCUGUCUUGAGUACGGGAGAGGUGAGUGGAACUCCGAGUGUAGAGGUGAAAUUCGUAGAUAUUCGGAAGAACACCAGUGGCGAAGGCGACUCACUGGCCCGUUACUGACGCUGAGGCGCGAAAGCGUGGGGAGCAAACAGGAUUAGAUACCCGAGUAGUCC